Molecule: long non-coding RNA, 1183 nt
Filed under: Salmo salar (Atlantic salmon)
Lineage: Eukaryota; Metazoa; Chordata; Actinopteri; Salmoniformes; Salmonidae
Description: lncRNA (ENSSSAG00000093342.1)
Source: RNAcentral
CUGGGCGGCAGGUAGCCUAGCGGUUAGAGCGGUGGGCCAGUAAUGUAAAGAUCGCUGGUUAGAAUACCCAAGCCAAGAAGGUGAAAAAUCUGUCGAUAUGCCCUUGAGCAAGGCACUUAACCCUGAUUUGCUCCAGGGGUGCCGUUCUACUAUGGCUGCAUCUAUCCAGUGUAUGUGACACUAAAACAUAUUUUGUUUUGUUAUUUUUUUAGGUUUGCAUUUUCCAACGUUAGGGUACCUUAGAUUAGUGUGUGUGUAACUUCAGUUUCCCAUCCACAUGACUGGUGAAUCAGAUAAUGGGAUACAGCCCCCUCUGUUGGUGACUGUUGAUAUUACAGCACUCUACCAGUGAGAGUUUGAAACACACACACACACACCCAAGCCUUUUCUCUGAAACCAAACUGCAUCCUGACGUUUGGAAACCACUAUAAUCGACUUCCUCGUUUUCCAAGUGCCUUUGAACAAGUUGACUCGUACACAUCAGUUGAUCAGUUCAGCAAGCUAUUUAUUUCUCCUCUCCCCUGUUGAGCUCUAACCCUCCACUACCUCAUCCCUCUCUCCUCUCCUCCCUCUGUCCCUGACAGACAGCAUGCAGUAACCCCCUCUCACCUCUCCUCAGUCACAAAGGGAGGAUGCUGUGUGACCAUAGCUAGAUUGUUUAUUGAUUUUUGCAUCUGCCUCUGUGUGCCAGUGUGUAGUCAUGUCUUUCUGCGCAAGCAUGUGCCUGAGUGUUCAUAUCUGUGUGUGCAGACAAUAUACUGCAGGUCGUGUGUGUGUGUGUGACAGCAUAUGACAUCUGAGGCAUUACAGUGUAUAUAGUUCUCUCCUCUACAUAUUGACAUGUGAGCUAGUGUUGUGAAUGACCCCUCAUCCUCUCUCUCUCUCUCUGUACUCCAUCACCAUAGUUACCACUCUGGAAGAGUACUGUAUGUUACUGUUCCAUCCAUUCUGAAUGUCUUAACUGGUUGCUUGUAUUAUAAUUUACGCUUAUUAUUCUGAAUAAAGAGACAAACUGGACUUCUGCAUCUUCUGUGUAUUGUUUAGCACUAGUCUAGAGAGUAUAGAGCAAGUUUGAGUGUAGUAGAAUUAAGGAGAACAUAAUUGAGUCAUCCUCUGUAGAUCAAUGUCAAAUGUGUGCAAGCUUCAGGAUUAGACUGUAUCCAGAUGCAUGGUUCACGUUCAC